GCGCCGUUAGCUCAGCCUGGAUAGAGCGGUGGGGUCCUAACCCAUAGGCCGGGGGUUCAAAUCCUCCACGGCGCG
This 75-nucleotide transfer RNA is filed under the name Candidatus Woesearchaeota archaeon. RNAcentral describes it as "tRNA-Arg". It matches the Rfam family "tRNA". Rfam says of the family: Transfer RNA (tRNA) molecules are approximately 80 nucleotides in length. Their secondary structure includes four short double-helical elements and three loops (D, anti-codon, and T loops). The record is from RNAcentral. Lineage: Archaea; Nanobdellati; Candidatus Woesearchaeota.